UACGUAGGUGGCAAGCGUUGUCCGGAUUUACUGGGCGUAAAGGGCGUGCAGGCGGUCUGUUAAGUUCAGGGUGAAAGCUCCCGGCUCAACUGGGAGAGGUCCUUGGAUACUGGCAGACUUGAGGGAGGUAGAGGAGAGUGGAAUUCCCGGUGUAGUGGUGAUAUGCGUAGAUAUCAGGAGGAACACCGGUGGCGAAGGCGGCCACCUGGACCGGUACUGACGCUGAGACACGAAAGCGUGGGGAGCAAACAGG
This 253-nucleotide ribosomal RNA is filed under the name uncultured bacterium. RNAcentral describes it as "partial 16S ribosomal RNA". It matches the Rfam family "Bacterial small subunit ribosomal RNA", at positions 524 to 776 of the family's 1533-position model. The record is from RNAcentral.